GACAGAGGGUGCAAACGUUGCUCGGAAUUACUGGGCGUAAAGGGCGCGUAGGCGGCCUGCUAAGUCGAACGUGAAAUCCCUGGGCUCAACCCAGGAACUGCGUCCGAUACUGGUUGGCUUGAAUCCGGGAGAGGGAUGUGGAAUUCCAGGUGUAGCGGUGAAAUGCGUAGAUAUCUGGAGGAACACCGGUGGCGAAGGCGACAUCCUGGACCGGUAUUGACGCUGAGGCGCGAAAGCCAGGGGAGCAAACGGG
This 253-nucleotide ribosomal RNA is filed under the name uncultured bacterium. RNAcentral's name for it is "partial 16S ribosomal RNA". It matches the Rfam family "Bacterial small subunit ribosomal RNA", at positions 524 to 776 of the family's 1533-position model. The record is from RNAcentral.